This 253-nucleotide ribosomal RNA is filed under the name uncultured bacterium. RNAcentral describes it as "partial 16S ribosomal RNA". It matches the Rfam family "Bacterial small subunit ribosomal RNA", at positions 524 to 776 of the family's 1533-position model. The record is from RNAcentral.
UACGUAGGGAGCAAGCGUUGUCCGGAAUCAUUGGGCGUAAAGCGCGUGUAGGCGGUCCGGUAAGUCCGCUGUGAAAGUCGGGGGCUCAACCCUCGGAUGCCGGUGGAUACUGUCGGGCUUGAGUACGGGAGAGGCGAGUGGAAUUCCUGGUGUAGCGGUGAAAUGCGCAGAUAUCAGGAGGAACACCAAUUGCGAAGGCAGCUCGCUGGAACGUUACUGACGCUGAGACGCGAAAGCGUGGGGAGCAAACAGG